Molecule: long non-coding RNA, 2890 nt
Filed under: Canis lupus familiaris (dog)
Lineage: Eukaryota; Metazoa; Chordata; Mammalia; Carnivora; Canidae
Description: lncRNA (ENSCAFG00040016556.1)
Source: RNAcentral
AUGAAAAUAGACUAUGAAUCAAUGGGCAGAAUUCAAUGGGAUGGCUUCUGCACGUAUUUGCAGCUAGAGUAUUCAGAGCAAGUGGAUGCUUUGGCCCAAGAGAAAGAGGUUUCCUUCCAGCUGCCUGCUGCGCUGCAAGGGCUGUCAUAUGGGGGUCCCGUGCUGCGCAUUCUCUCUAUGCCUGACGACACCGUAAUCAUGAUCAGAGAAGAUGGAGCGAUUUAUUUCUGGUCCCUGCAGCUGAAGUUGAAAAGAAGAAAGAGAGUUUUUGACAAGUCCAUGAGUUGGAAGCCCAGGUCGAUGACAGAUGUCAUCGGCAUGCCACAGUACAACAAACUGAUCAUAGGGACUAGAAACCGUGAAAUCCAGCUAUGUGAAUUCUCCAACUGGGAGCCUUACUGUCAGAUCAGUGGCUUAGAAGGUGUUCCUCUGAAACUGGACUACUGAACGUGGAAGAAGCUGCCCAAAAUUGAGAACAUGCCAAACAUUAACAUUAAUAACGCUGUGACCUCUCCAAAUGUAAACUAUAUUCGCUGGAAAGUGCAUAGAGACUGGAUUACUCAGGUAAAACAAAGGAAAAAAUAAAGGAAGGAAAUAGAAAAGAAAAAGAAAGAAGAAAGAAAAGAAAGAAAGAAAGAAAGAAAGAAAGAAAGAAAGAAAGAGAAAAAGAAAAGAAAAGAAAAGAGAGGGAGGGAGGGAGGGAAGGGGAAAAGAAAAGAAAGAAAUGUUAAAUGAAAGUAAAUUGGGAUCUGCCAGACUGAUGUAUCUCUCCAGGUAUAUCAGCCAAACAGCAUAUAUAUAUUGUUUAAUGAGUGACCACUAUUCCCAAGGUAACUUUAUUAACUAAGCUGAAAACAAAUAAAAAUAAAUGUUGCAUGAAAUACCCAGAAUAGUACAAAGAAUGAUAAACAUCUAGUUUCUAGAAGCUAGUGAGACUGAUCAGUUUGAACUCCUGGCAUGCUUGUUUUGGGGUUCCCAUUCAUCAUCAUUUGGAUCUGAAGACAAUAGGUGUGAUUCCCUUUCUCUUUUUGUUUAGGGCCAGUAAUAUGACUUUAGACCUGAGAGUCCUUUCCCUGAAAUUUUACUGGCUCUGAGAAGCUAAAUUAGUGUUUCUUAAACACAAAAGCAAGCAAGAUAGUGUUCUUUAUGUUAAGGCAGCACAGAAACCCAAUACAGAGUGGACACUUCCUGAGGAUUAGAGAGAGAAGGGUUUUCAGGGUUGAUAGAACACCAGGUAGGGGAGGAGAGACUCCUGCCAACAUCUUUUGUCUAUUCCUAAACACAUCGGGCUUAAGGCAAGAAAAGAAAAUAUUAGUGGGUGAAAGGAAAACUAGGAAAACAACCAAAUUUAUUUGCUAAGUGAAAAGGAAAAUUCAAGGGGAAGAAAAAUUGGACCAAGAACAUAGCAUUUGUCUAAAAGAUGAACACUGACCAAGUUUCAAACACAAGAAAAAGAAAAUAAAAUACCAAUUCUGGAGUAGAAAGGAAAUGAGAAUCAAGUAAGAAUAUAAAAACAAAACAAUCCAACUAAACAGCCACAUGUAAAAUUGCCGUAUGUAAUACCUAUUAUUUUUCAAAGGUGAUUGGUUACAAGACCCUUACUUUCUUAAACUUUUCUGAGGUAGCUGCAUAUCAUAAAUUUAUGCAUCUUGAGUGUACAAUUAAUGAUUGUUGAUAAGUUUACUGGGUUAUUCAAUUAUCACUGUAAUGCAGUUUAAGAACAUUUCCAUUACCCCAAUAAGACCUCUGUUAACCACGUAGAGUUAAUCAUCAUUCCCACCCCCAGUGCCAGGCAACCACUAAUCUACUUUCUAUAUCUAUUGAUUUGCCUUUUCUCUCCAUGUCAUGUAAAUAAAAUCAUAUAUUAUGUGGCCUUUUGUGCCUGGCUUCUUCUACUUGGACAUUUUGUCCCACUGAAUUGCCAGCCCUCAUUGCCUUGGAAGGUGAAAAGAACAAUACCAAAAUCUAGAGUCAGUGCCAUCCAAGGGAUGACCACACAAGGAGAGGUGGGGUUGGGGGGGGGGUGGUAAACAAAGCCGGGCAUUGGCAUUGGCCAUGUAAAAAGGGGGCUAACAGAGAGGGGCUAUACCAGAGAAUUCCCCAUCACCCCAGGGGUGUGUUCCUGGAGUCCCCAUUUGGAAGUCUGCCACAUGAGCCAGCUUGAGGGAGCCCAUUUCAAUAGAGAAAACACAGAGACAGUUUUGAGGUUGCUCAGGGCACUGGAUCCUGCUCUGCUGGAUCAGGCCUCAAGCUCCAGAAACCCUGUCUCCUCUCCCAACCCCACCCCCCCACCCCACCCCCGCCCCUGCCCCACAGGCUUACUCUUUGUCUUCCUGUGUCUCUGGUUCUCUGGUUUCUGCCCUCCUUGAGGGUUAGAACUAAGGGUUAUCAUCUGGGCAUGCCCCUCUGAACCUAGCAUAGUGCCUGGAAGGUCUAAAAGAGAAACCAAUCAUUUCUUGUAGCUAAUAUGUUGCUCUUUUAACACUACUAUGGCCUUAUCCAUUUUACAUGUUUUAUAUUCUUCAAUUUUUUUUUUUUUUUUUAAUGAUAGUCUCACAGAGAGAGAGAGAGAGAGGCAGAGACACAGGAGGAGGGAGAAGCAGGCUCCAUGCACCGGGAGCCCGACGUGGGAUUCGAUCCCGGGUCUCCAGGACCGCGCCCCGGGCCAAAGGCAGGCGCUAAACCGCCGCGCCACCCAGGGAUCCCACAUGUUUUAUAUUCUUAAUAAGGACUUCCUCCAGGGAAGAAGUGUUCCAAGAUCAGAAAAACUCCUCAAAUCCCACCAACCCCUGUUCCUCGAACCUGAGACCAGCCCUGGCACCAGCCCGAAGAUCCUGGUUCCCUAAUCCUGGCACAUCUGCUGCUUCAGAGCCUGGCUCUUGAUUUUUAA